CUAUAAAAGAUGUAACAGAUGCAAACUGUAACACAAGGGCCAUUAACCCUUUCUCUGCCGGGCACACUCAGUCCCCACGCCCCGCACCUAUUGUCUCCUGUGCUAGAAGCUUUGCAGAAAACCUGGAA
Molecule: unclassified non-coding RNA, 128 nt
Organism: Cercocebus atys (sooty mangabey)
Lineage: Eukaryota; Metazoa; Chordata; Mammalia; Primates; Cercopithecidae
Source: Ensembl